UUUUUUUUUUUUUUUUAAUGGCCUCACUGGAGGCAUAUGAAAUUCUCAGGCCAGGAAUCGAAUCCCAGCAGCACCUGCGACCUAUGCUACAGCUGUGGCAACAGUCUGGAUCCUUUUUAAGCCACUGCGAAGGCUAGGGGUUGAACCUCCACCUCUUCCACCACAACCCACCACUGCAGUCAGAUUCCUAACUCACUGAGCCUGGAGCGGAACUCCUUAAAUGACUUUUUAAAAAUUAUUUUGUCUUUCUCAUCGACAGCUACCUUUUCCUUCAUUCUUUUACAUUCCCUUGGUUUGGGAAAACUUUUGGUCAAAGUGGGCAGGUCACGGUGCAUGAGCUGCUCUGCAAUGCCCAAAUCCCUGAUCCAAAGGGCGUGACCCACGCUCAGCAGAGGAAAGCAGCCCUAGGUCAGGCUCCCCGAGACCAUCCCCCGAGGCAGACUCUCGCUAGCGGGAAUCCUCAGCACACAGUGGUGUUUGGGACUAUGAUUUAUUAGCCCAAAGGACAUGAAGCCGAAACAGCAAAGGGGAAAAGGGCGGGGCCUGGGGAACCAGGUGUUGAGUCUUCUCUGGGGACUCACACAGGACAAGUUUAAUUCCGACAGCGCUGAACUGUGACAGCACAACGGAGACUUAGCGCCCUGGGUUCACUGGGAACUGGUAACCUCUGCCUGGGAUGGGCCAGAAUCCUAGACUGGGGGGGAAAGCUGGUGUCAACACCCAUGAAACAGUCUGUGCAAAUGGUCUGGACACAGGGAGCCACGCUUGUCAUUGGGGAACAGUGGGAACCCUCUGGAAAUCCAAGAUCCCAGAUGCCCAACACCAGCCAGCCUGGCCAGCAGACUUCACAAUGAUGGCAGCCUCAGACAUAUGGAGGGAUUCCUCCUCCUGCUCACACCGUGGCUCCCAGAUCAGAGUGCAUUUGAGCCUCUGCUUCACCUGCAGACCAAGCCCACAUGCCGGGUGGCGUGAGGGGGAUCAGAGACUGCUGAUAGCCAGACAGCAUCAUCAGCUCAGCCAACCCAGUAUCAGCUCUGGGCCGGUAGGGACACUGUCCUGGUCUCUCGUCCAUGC
RNAcentral lists this long non-coding RNA (1074 nucleotides) under Sus scrofa (pig). RNAcentral's name for it is "lncRNA (ENSSSCG00015052456.1)". Lineage: Eukaryota; Metazoa; Chordata; Mammalia; Artiodactyla; Suidae. The record is from RNAcentral.